This 588-nucleotide ribosomal RNA is filed under the name uncultured bacterium. Its description in RNAcentral is "partial 16S ribosomal RNA". It matches the Rfam family "Bacterial small subunit ribosomal RNA", at positions 355 to 1376 of the family's 1533-position model. The record is from RNAcentral.
UGGGGAAUUUUGGACAAUGGGCGCAAGCCUGAUCCAGCCACGCCGCGUGCGGGAAGAAGGCCUUCGGGUUGUAAACCGCUUUUGUCAGGGAAGAAAUCUUCUGAGUUAAUACCUCGGGAGGAUGACGGUACCUGAAGAAUAAGCACCGGCUAACUACGUGCCAGCAGCCGCGGUAAUACGUAGGGUGCAAGCGUUAAUCGGAAUUACUGGGCGUAAAGCGUGCGCAGGCGGUUUUGUAAGACAGAGGUGAAAUCCCCGGGCUCAACCUGGGAACUGCCUUUGUGACUGCAAGGCUUGAGUGCGGCAGAGGGGGAUGGAAUUCCGCGUGUAGCAGUGAAAUGCGUAGAUAUGCGGAGGAACACCGAUGGCGAAGGCAAUCCCCUGGGCCUGCACUGACGCUCAUGCACGAAAGCGUGGGGAGCAAACAGGAUUAGAUACCCUGGUAGUCCACGCCCUAAAACGAUGUCAACUGGUUGUUGGGAAGGUUCCUUCUCAGUAACGUAGCUAACGCGUGAAGUUGACCGCCUGGGGAGUACGGCCGCAAGGUUGAAAACUCAAAUGAAUUGACGGGGUCAUAGCUGUUUCCUG